UGUCGUAUAUAAAGUGAAACUACCCGCUAAAAAUAAAAGCCAGCGCGGCUGACGUGGUAAGUUUAAGUGUACGAAUUGUAUAAAAUGUAACGGAGGAGUGGGCCCAACUGUGAAAGACUACGGUUCUAGGGUUUUGGAGGUUUAACAUCUCUAUAUAAAGAUGCUCAAGCCAACACAGAAAUCAUCGGCAUCCGCCAACUUUCAUUUUCCUAGGGUUUUGGUAGCAUAGAAAUUUACCCUAAAUUUCAGUUUCAGAUCUCAAAUUGAUUAGAUCGAUGGUCUUCUCCUUUCUUUGAAAUUUCGUAUUGUGAUUGCAUGUUGCACCCCGGGCUUACCUGAUUAUCCUUGUGACGGCAAAAGCCCCAAUGCACGUGCUAAAGCGGCGCCGUUCAGUGUUGCAGUUUGGCUUCGAUAUUGUUCCACGGCUUAUCUGUGUCAAAGAAACGGCUACAUCUCAUUAUCAAUCUAUCAUUUUAAAAUUUCCAUUUUUUUUUCUUUCCGAACUCCAUUAUUGGCCUCCCUACACCUUUAGCUUGUUUUUUAGUAAAAAUUACACGGUGAAAACAACGCUAGUCCUUGAGGCCAAUAUUAUUUUGGCGGUGUUACACGUGGUGGUCAUGGUGAUGGAUACCAUAUAAAUGGGGUUAGAAAAUUUGUUUUUUUAUUUUAUUUUAUUUUAUUUUAAAAUCCAUCUUUUUUAAAUGGGUAUUGUUUAUUUUUUAUUAGCUGAUUAAGAUAAUUAAUUUUCUUGGCAAUGAUUAAUAUUUAUCCGCGCUUCUGAGUGUAUUCAAUGAAGCACAAAAGUAAAUUAUGGUUGAAUUUCUUAAUAUGAGCCAACUUUUACAAUUAUUAUGUUUGUUCAUUUCUUUUUCUUUGAUUUUUUAAUUGGCUAUGAUGAUGUAUCUCAGCUUUAAUGCCAGUUCUGCUUCAGAAAAUUCUUGAUCGAAAGAGCUGUUUAUAACCUGAGCCUGUUCAUCUGUUCAAUAUAAUUUAACUUUUAUUCUCGUUUGAUUUUGCUCAAUAUUGUAUUUUUUAAUGUUUCUUAGAUUAGAUAAUAUGUGUUAUAAUCUAUGUGAAUUCCAUUGAUGACUCAAUCCAAUUUGUUGAGUUGUAGUGAAUCUGAGACCCUGUUUACAGGGAGAACCCCUUGGUGGAGCUACAUUUCGUAUGACAUUAAUGGAUUUAACUGAGGUUUUUGUUUACUUGUUUCAAAAUUUAAAAUGUGUUCUGAGUAUAUGCUAAUGCCUGGGAUGAUUCAAUCCACUUGUUUGAGGUGUUGUGGAGCCGAGACCCUGUUUACAGGGAGAACCCCUUGGCAAAACUUCAUUUCAUAUGACAUUAUUGGAUUUAACUGAGGCUUAUCAUAAAUGGUUUUUAUACUAAUCUGUUAAAUUUUUGUUUUGUAUUUACAACAAUAUUUUGUUUUGAGUUUUAACUAUACUCUUAUCCUUAAUUUUAUGUGGGUAUAAGAGUCUGAAAAACUCAUAAAUUACGUGUUGUCUAUCAGCUUCAUCUUUUGUAAUUCUACGAGAAUGGAGUUAAAUAACAGCACUAAAUAUAUUUAACUACAUUUUCCUUUCUGUUUUUCGUUUUCUAUUAAUGUUUUUAUUGCAUAUUUGUGCUGAUAUUGAUACGGAAUAUAGCGAAGGACUUAGUUUUUCAUUUGUAAUGAGAAUUAUAUACGGUUUCAUACAUAGUUCUCUUCUGACAUGUGAAUCUAUUUUGCUGAUAGUGUUAUCAUUUGGCCGUCUUUUUGUUAUGUGGGUGUGUAAUAGUGUGAAUACACAUGUUGCCAUGUUUUUAAUGAUCAAAACAUGUUACAAAGGUAAGGACCAAGCAGACUUUCAGGAAGUGAGUCUGGCUGAAUACUCCCAUUAAUUAUACAAGCACGAGUCCAGGUGACUAGAGUAUGUGCAAGAGAGUUGGAACUUCUUUUAGCAUAGUCAAAAUAACACUUGGAAUAAAGAACUAGGACAGUGGUGUUAAUGUGUUGUUUAGGUAUUCCUAUAAGAGCAGUCGUAGUAAAACCCAACAGAGCAGUCUCAACUUCUCUAAGAUUGUUUGCAUUUCUUCACGAGUUUUUCAAAAAAUGCAAUUUGGAUUAUGAGUGGGAUAGUCUAGACCUCGCCCGUCUCAUGAAAUUUACCAUUCUAGAGAGAUCCAAUAUAUGCCGUUGGAAUGUGCAAGUGAUGGAAGAAGGCAUUUUUCCGGCGGCUUUGGACAAAACUCUUAAAAUGGCCAAUAGAAAGCGACCAUUACCAGCAAGGAUACAAGUAAGAAAGAUCAAUUUUCUUGGCUUAAAUGAUAUAUUUCCGAAACAAGGAAUUGUGGACUUUUAAUUUAGAAUCCUAAAAUAAUUUGGUUUUUGCACGAAGAAUGAAGGCAAGCAAAUUCAUACUUGAGCUGCGAGGUUUUUCCCUGUUCUUAUGAUCUCUACUGUGACCCCCCCAAUAUUUUGUCAAUGGAAAUCCAAUUUGGAAUAUAUUGAGUUCAUCACAUCACUCCUGAUUUCCUGGUGUACAACAUUGGCAUAAAGACAAACUGAUAUGAUAUUAGUUGCGUUGCUAGAUUUGGAAGGUGUUCAGGUUUCGACCCUCCAAGUUUAGCUUUAACGCUAUCUAGAAUGCAUUUGAUCGUGCAAAGGUUAUAUUUCAACAAUGGCAUUUUAGGCCCCAAAGUAUCUAGUAGCAGAGAUUUUGACUUUUGACAUGAGCAGAUCCUGAGGGAGACUUCCACCGUGGGUUUGAGUGGUCUCCAGGGCCAUACCGUCCAAGCGAUUUUUGAUUAUUGGGAAUGAUGAUUUAAAGGAUUGGACCUCCACCCCCUACACUACAAAGUCAUCACCGGUGAGGGUUACGUUAAGAUUAACAACAAUAAGCCAAGAACUUGAAAAGCCACGCCUUGGUACAAAGAAUUUCUCAAAAAUCUGGGUUUGAUGCAAUAUCAUUACCCUAAUUGUGCCAUCGAAAUCUUGGUAGAACUUAAAAUCUAUCUGUAAAGUAUGGAAAUACUCUUUAUGAAAGCUAGAUAAGCGUCCCUAUUAUUGGA
This is a long non-coding RNA of Humulus lupulus (European hop), 3048 nucleotides long. RefSeq lists it as uncharacterized. The record is from RefSeq and is a predicted model, not a curated record. NCBI's taxonomy places the organism in Eukaryota, Viridiplantae, Streptophyta, Magnoliopsida, Rosales, Cannabaceae. The transcript is spliced from 2 exons.